Molecule: ribosomal RNA, 252 nt
Filed under: uncultured bacterium
Lineage: Bacteria
Description: partial 16S ribosomal RNA
Rfam family: Bacterial small subunit ribosomal RNA
Source: RNAcentral
UACGGAGGAUGCGAGCGUUAUCCGGAUUUAUUGGGUUUAAAGGGUGCGUAGGCGGUCCGUUAAGUCAGCGGUAAAAUUGCGGGGCUCAACCCCGUCGAGCCGUUGAAACUGUCAGACUUGAGUUGGCGAGAAGUACGCGGAAUGCGCGGUGUAGCGGUGAAAUGCAUAGAUAUCGCGCAGAACUCCGAUUACGAAGGCAGCGUACCGGCGCCACACUGACGCUGAGGCACGAAAGCGUGGGGAUCGAACAGG